AACCUGGAGCUACUAAGUACUUUGUCACUUCUCUGGAACAUUCUAAGCAGAAUUAUCCCGAUUCAUAUAUUCUAAGAAUCUUGUGUGAAUUGUUUACGAGGAAAUUCUGACUGUCACAUUAACAAGGAUGAACACUCUUGACUCUGCUUCGGAUUCCCCAGUGAUAAUUGUAUCGAGUGAUGAAAGAGCUGACGGCGACAUUUUAAUGUAUGAUUGGCUUGGACCGUUGGAAUAAAGUCAUUUCAUGGUGCCACCACUUGGGAUGGUAUUAGCUGCAAAUAUAGACUUGUACUCAGCACUUAUUGCCUUUAAGAAGUAUGAGAUCCAUUUUGUGCUAACACCUACCGUGACACAGAAUCUUGGUUUAUGCAGUCUCAUAGGAGUAACCUGUCUAAAGCAUUUAGCAAUGGGAUUGGAACCUGCGACGUGUGACUCAUCUGAAUACUGAAUUUUGAUACCAAGCAUGACCAUGAUUUGCCAGAAGAUCAUCUGUUUGGAUGUGACAUGGAAUAAACAGCAUAGUGAAAAUAAGUCAAGUUUUGGUUUGUGAAGACAAUUCUUAAACACACUGUGUAUCAUUUUUAAAUUUUGAUUUGACAAGAUAAAUCCACAAAUAUGAACAUAUCAAUUGUUCUCAGUUUUUCAAAUGAAAUAGUUUUUGUAACAGAAAUACAUG
Long non-coding RNA from Saccostrea cuccullata (small rock oyster), 676 nucleotides. RefSeq lists it as uncharacterized. The record is from RefSeq and is a predicted model, not a curated record. NCBI's taxonomy places the organism in Eukaryota, Metazoa, Mollusca, Bivalvia, Ostreida, Ostreidae. The transcript is spliced from 3 exons.